Molecule: long non-coding RNA, 2989 nt
Filed under: Capra hircus (goat)
Lineage: Eukaryota; Metazoa; Chordata; Mammalia; Artiodactyla; Bovidae
Description: lncRNA (ENSCHIG00010002569.1)
Rfam family: HOXA transcript at the distal tip, conserved region 2 (bases 545-918)
Source: RNAcentral
GUGCUGAGUUGGGACUCUCUUCUGGGGUUUAAUGAGGCUUCACAGAGCCUGGGCCGGAGCUGACUCUCCAGGCACCUGGGCACUCUCUAUCACACUCUGUUUUUGGACAAGAGAAAGAGACUCUUUGGGGCCAUUUCACAUCUCCCUCCCCACCUUCCCCAGGUAGGACUGGGAAAGAGCCCUGUCUCCAGCCGGCAGAGAGGAUGCCUGGCCCUCCUCUGUCCAUGAACCAGCUGAAGAAGCCUUUUGCCCUCUGUGCCUGGGGAAUGCAGCCCUUUCCUGAGAGCACGGUGGGGUGUUGAUGCUGGAAGAGCCAAGCGGCCGCCACAUUUUGCUUGCAGACUCAGCCCUAAGCUCAAGGCACUGUGAACAUCCCCACUCCAGUCUGUUCUCUAAAGUUUCUGAUCUUCCUGAAGUGUCCGAACCAAGGAGGCUGAGCUCCGGCUUUUAUCCACAUCCACCCUGAUCCUGGGUUUGUCCGGACCAAUGUAAGUGUUGCCCAAUAAAACCUUCUAUGACGCUCCCCCCUGCCAUACACAUACCCAGUGUGCCCUUUCCCUCCUGCCUUUUUAGUAGCUCCGGGUAAAUAUUGAUUUGCCCCCAGUUUACCUCCUCCCUGACUUGGCCAUUUGCAGCCUAAAGAACCAGCCCCUGUAGGGACUUGAUUUUUGUGUUACUUUCCGGGCCGUUCACCCCCCUUCCUUCCUCCAAGUGGCAUUGUAAAACUCUUGAUGACAAAGAGACAGGGUAGGGUUUGAGGGCCCAGUUCCUAAGGACUUGAGGGCUGUUUUACAUACAGGUCAGACACGGCUGGAGGCCAAGGUCAAGUUGAAAGUUGCAGUCUAGCCAUGGUGAGAACUGCCCUGCAAGCCUGGAGACUCCGGCAGCUUCUAAAGGAAUACCGCCCACCUCCCCUCACUCCUGAUUCCUUUUUCCUUUAGAAUUCCUCCUGUUUCUGGUUCCGUUUAGUUACCCAGGUUUUUUUUUUUUUUUUUUUUUAAACUGNNNNNNNNNNNNNNNNNNNNNNNNNNNNNNNNNNNNNNNNNNNNNNNNNNNNNNNNNNNNNNNNNNNNNNNNNNNNNNNNNNNNNNNNNNNNNNNNNNNAACUGCCUUCUCGGAGUUUUGGGGGCAGUGUUUACAGACUCUUCUUCUCUGCCUCCGCCCUGCUCUUGGCCGGAGCUUCGUGCCUCUUCUGUCUUCUAGCCAGACCCGGAAAAACGAAAACACUGCUCUGAGAGCCCCCACCAGCUGGCGCCUGUGCCAGCUCACCUCUGGCCAUGGCAUGGCGCAGCUGCCUGCCGGUGCACACCGCGGCCAAGGCCAGCUCCACAUUCUUCCCGCACUCUCCCCAAUUCGCCGCAGACCAAGCUCUGAAUGCAGAGGAAGGGUCCCAGCUCCACAGACUGCCAAAGCCAACUGGGUCCCUCCUCACCAAAAAUGGUGAGACAAGAUUUCAUUUUUUCUGCUGAGGAGCCCCAAGCAGGUUUGUCUGGGAGGGACGGCACUGAGGGGAAGACUUUGGGUUGCAUCUUGAAUUAGGUUUUGCUACCCAAGCUUGGUGACCCCGCUAAGGAAGGGCUUCAGGCAGGCCUGAAUUAUUUAUUGCGCUUUGAGGUGGAUCUUUAGUGAUCAGGUUAUGGGGAUAUUUUCUUUUUCUAAAUAUCAACUUUUGAAAACUCUUGAGAUGUGAUUACUUACGGGGAGGCAGCCUGCCUGUUUCCUUCUUGUCUUAGAUCUCAAUCUACAUGAAGUGAUUUUUCUACCAGACAACUUAGUGAUGUCCUGGCACGCCUUCACUGUUUUUAAAAGUCUGCAGGUCCCAUUAGAUAUUGAGUUAUAUCUAGUGGAGAUGGUUUACAGAAUUUGGAUUAGCUCUGUAAAUAAUUUUGGUUUUCCAGAAUUUCUCCUUACUUUGAAGAAAACCUCUUUCUCUCCAUCUUCUUGUCCAUUGCUGAGAGAUGCAUUAUAAGUUCCCAGUAUUGUUUCUUAGCCUCUUAGUCUUCCAGGCAGCCACCAAACCAGCUUGCUGGAAGAGGAAAGGUCGGAAGGCAGUGAAGAACUGGAGAGCCUUCUGGGAAGCAAGCACAGACUCUUUCCAAUGGCAAGGUCAAGACUCUUGCCUGCCCAGCUCUUGGCCCAGACCUUCUUAACUGUCCCUCUGCUUUUUUUGCGGGGGAGGGUCUACCAGGCUCAGGAAUUCCUGUGGGAUUGCAGAGAGAUGCCUCAACUUGAAUCUUGGCAAUGACAGUUUUAUCCUCAGACCCUUUGUAGGCUAGGCUGGAAAGCCAAGGCACCCACUGGGUUCUGGAAACAGCAGAUUCAUGGCCCAUUGAGCAAGAGGGCAAGAGGGCGGUAGAGUGGAGGUGGGUUUUGCCCCGUGCUCCCUGCUUUCCUAUAGAGGGGCCCUCAGUGGGCAGCAAUGGCAAGAUCAGAGGCCAGCAGCUUUUGUUCCAGAAGUUGCCAUAUCCUUUCUCUUACCAGCCCCUUGGCAGACAUGGCUUCAGACCUUCUAGGGCAGGCUGGGGUGCCCUGAGGGGUUUUGUUGCUCUGGAGCUGAAGAAAAAUACCUUGGCUGGGUGUUAUUUUGGGGGAGGUGUGAUGGGGUGAUGGAGGGGGGGGACUCGCUNNCAGCCUGGGCCAUGAAGCCCUGGGUUCCCAGGGUUGGAAGAGAAGAGGACAAAGGGAAACCCAGGUAUUAAUCGAGUUUGAUUUUCACUAGCAAAUGAAAUUUACCUGCUCUCACUUUAACUCCGAGGAGCCUGUCAGCACUGCUCUCUGGCACUAUUUCUCUGCAUCCAUCCAGCAUUAGGAUAAACAUUCCUGGGUUGGUUUUAAAGACACUUUGUAUUUCAGGAUAUUCAUGUGUUUCCAAUGUAUCCAAGCAGCUUUACGAGCUGCAUUUGCAGAAGAUCUUAACCCUCUCUCUCCCAGAGCACAAGGGAUAGGGGCUCAGAGAUAAUGGCAAAGGAAGAAAGACCCAGAGAAGGGG